CCAGGGUAAGGUGUAUGCCCUUCUUGGACCCAUACUUGUAAGGGUUUGGCCUGACCUUGGUGGUCUAAGUUGGUAGCCCCCAUACACAUAUGGGUCACCUCAUACGCAUAUGGGUAGGGAACUUAUUUAUGUACCUUCUUUGCUCUUACACGUAUAUCACAUGGUGGAGAGUACUGGCCAUACGCGUAUGAGAUCCCUCAUACGCGUAUGG
This 211-nucleotide long non-coding RNA is filed under the name Lathyrus oleraceus (garden pea). Its description in RNAcentral is "Pisum sativum (pea) long non-coding RNA (PSAT_LNC025531)". The record is from RNAcentral. Lineage: Eukaryota; Viridiplantae; Streptophyta; Magnoliopsida; Fabales; Fabaceae.